This 206-nucleotide ribosomal RNA is filed under the name Clostridioides difficile. RNAcentral's name for it is "partial 16S ribosomal RNA". It matches the Rfam family "Bacterial small subunit ribosomal RNA", at positions 277 to 500 of the family's 1533-position model. The record is from RNAcentral. Lineage: Bacteria; Bacillati; Bacillota; Clostridia; Peptostreptococcales; Peptostreptococcaceae.
CGAUCAGUAGCCGACCUGAGAGGGUGAUCGGCCACAUUGGAACUGAGACACGGUCCAAACUCCUACGGGAGGCAGCAGCGGGGAAUAUUGCACAAUGGGCGAAAGCCUGAUGCAGCAACGCCGCGUGCGUGAUGAAGGCCUUCGGGUCGUAAAACUCUGUCCUCAAGGAAGAUAAUGACGGUACUUGAGGAGGAAGCCCCGGCUAA